GAUGAAGAACGUAGCGAAAUGCGAUACUUGGUGUGAAUUGCAGAAUCCCGUGAACCAUCGAGUCUUUGAACGCAAGUUGCGCCCGAAGCCAUUAGGCCGAGGGCACGCCUGCCUGGGCGUCACACGUCGUUGCCCCCCCAUCUACUCCUUCGGGAUUGCGGGGGGCGGAUGAUGGCCUCCCGUGCGCCUCGUCGCGCGGUUGGCAUAAAUGCCAAGUCCUCGGCGACGCACGUCACGACAAUCGGUGGUUGCGAAACCUCGGUUGCCCGUCGUGUGCGGUCGUCGCGCAUCGAGGGCUCGAAAAAAUUGCCGGGCUCCGGCUCGGCUUUCAACGCGACCCCAGGUCAGGCGGGGUUACCCGCUGAAUUUAAGCAUAUCAAUAAGCGGAGGA
RNAcentral lists this unclassified non-coding RNA (391 nucleotides) under soil metagenome. RNAcentral's name for it is "partial contains 5.8S ribosomal RNA, internal transcribed spacer 2, and large subunit ribosomal RNA". The stretch from base 1 to 122 matches the Rfam family "5.8S ribosomal RNA", at positions 35 to 154 of the family's 154-position model. The record is from RNAcentral.